GAAACUUAAUAAAUAUAUUUUUGGUGUUUUUUCAGUUCCUAGAAUAGUGUCUGGCAUCCAGUAGGUGCUCAAUACACAGUGCUGAGAGGGUGAAUGGAUUCUUGGGUUCAUGGGUGGGUGUUGUUUUGUUUUUUUUUAGUUUCCAGUGGUUUUUUCUUUGGUUCUGUUUCAGUUGUGAGGUUUGUUGUUUUGGGUGCUUCUAAGAAAUUUGAUUAGCAUAAUUCAACCUCAGUGUAACACUUCAAAUGUCAACUCCCCCUUCUUCAGUUUAUACUAGAUCAUUCUUUAUUCUUUGGACUGUCGUUUUCCAAGCAGUUCAGCAGUGUAGACCCCCAGAGUUUCUUCCUGAGUGGAACAAUAGAUUCAAAAGUCCACACGCUGGAGUGCAUUGUUUGCUUCAAACUGGUUGGAAGCUUAGCUUGUCUCUGGCAAGCAUUUCUAGCUACGGAUGCUUGGUUUAUAUUGCUCUGUUGGCACGGAUGCUCUCAAGCCAGAACUGUGGUUUUUUUCAUGUCCACAGAGGUCUCAGCAAAUGGUGUCAUACUAAUUACAUUGUCUACUUUAAGCCCAAAAUAUUGAUGGAUAAUGGGCCAAGGGUCCCAGUGGAAGCAUACUGGCAGAGCUUCUUACCUAUUAUGACAUUUUUACUAGCUGUCUUUAUUUUCCAAUCUACUUUCUUCAGUUACUUCAUGUAAGGGGUUAUUAUUCACAGUGAGAACAUCAUUUUCCCUGUGGCAGAGAGAGAAGUACAGAGAUUGCAAGGGCAAAUUCAGAAGCAAUCCAAGCCAGCCUCUGGCCUCUGAGCAGAGCCAAAUCCAUCAAGCAGGGGACGAGACAGCAGAGUGUACUCUUUAAUUAGCUCCUGCCCACAAAGAGUGGUUUUCAUGGGGGAAGUGGUUAGUUGGGUUGGUUAUGCAAGUGUUUUUUUGUUGUUGGGGGCUUUUCUGUGUCCUUGCGGGAGGAUGAGUUUGGUUCUUAUGUCCGUGCUUGUGUUAAUUUGGUUUAAGUUUUAAAGUAAAUAUAUUCACUUUUUAAAAGACCUCGUUUACUUAGACAUGCACAAAGCUGGAUUUCAAGGCCACCAAAGGACAGAAAGUACAUUUUAUCCAUAUUCAGAGUUGAUACAUCAGCCCGUGUACUUUGGGGCAUGUCAUAGGGGCUGUCUGCAUGCUGGUGAAUGAAUGAAUGAAUCCAGGAAUGUAUGACCAGGUAAAUAAACAAAUCAGUGACAUUCUUCCCACAUGGAUAUUUAUAAUAAGGAAUUAAUAAUUCUCUUUGUAUACUAUACUCUUUGUAUACUCAGAUGUCUCUGAGCCCCCUUGGUCAAUCUGUGACAAUUCCAGAAAGCUUCUGUUAUAAACACAUUGAACACAUCAUGAGUUACCUAUUUUUCUCUGCCCAGUCCUGCUUCCACCCUUCCUUACAGGGUUGAUUCCCAAAUGCAUUUCCCAAUAAACCUCCUACACACAGUUCUCUGGGACAGUCUGUUUCCAGGAAGCCCAAC
Molecule: long non-coding RNA, 1504 nt
Filed under: Marmota monax (woodchuck)
Lineage: Eukaryota; Metazoa; Chordata; Mammalia; Rodentia; Sciuridae
Source: RNAcentral